Molecule: unclassified non-coding RNA, 203 nt
Filed under: uncultured fungus
Lineage: Eukaryota; Fungi
Description: partial contains 5.8S ribosomal RNA, internal transcribed spacer 2, and large subunit ribosomal RNA
Source: RNAcentral
AGGGAUCAUUACACAAUACAAUAUGAAGGCCGUACGCGGCUGGAUUAUUUUAUUACCCUUGUCUUUUGCGCACUUGUUGUUUCCUGGGCGGGUUCGCCCGCCACCAGGACCACACCAUAAACCUUUUUUAUGCAGUUGCAAUCAGCGUCAGUACAACAAAUGUAAAUCAUUUACAACUUUCAACAACGGAUCUCUUGGUUCUG